Molecule: ribosomal RNA, 507 nt
Filed under: uncultured bacterium
Lineage: Bacteria
Description: bacterial SSU rRNA
Rfam family: Bacterial small subunit ribosomal RNA
Source: RNAcentral
UCCUGGCUUAGGAUGAACGCUAGCGGCAGGCUUAACACAUGCAAGUCGAGGGGCAUCGGGAGUAGCAAUACUUGCCGGCGACCGGCGCAAGGGUGCGUAACGCGUGAGCAACAUGCCCGUAUCAGGGGGAUAAUCCAUGGAAACGUGGUCUAAUACCCCAUAGUAAUUAUGUAAGGCAUCUUAUAUAAUUUAAAGCUUUGGUGGAUACGGAUUGGCUCGCGUGACAUUAGCUGGAUGGUAAGGUAACGGCUUACCAUGGCUACGAUGUCUAGGGGUUCUGAGAGGAAGGUCCCCCACACUGGAACUGAGACACGGUCCAGACUCCUACGGGAGGCAGCAGUGAGGAAUAUUGGACAAUGGAUGGAAAUCUGAUCCAGCCAUGCCGCGUGCCAGGAAGACGGCCCUAUGGGUUGUAAACUGCUUUUGUAUGGGAGCAAUAAGGGCUACGUGUAGUCCGAUGAGAGUACCAUACGAAUAAGCACCGGCUAACUCCGUGCCAGCCGCUGC